This 301-nucleotide ribosomal RNA is filed under the name uncultured bacterium. RNAcentral describes it as "partial 16S ribosomal RNA". It matches the Rfam family "Bacterial small subunit ribosomal RNA", at positions 509 to 809 of the family's 1533-position model. The record is from RNAcentral.
CAGCCGCCGCGGGAAUACGAAGGGUGCAAGCGUUACUCGGAAUUACUGGGCGUAAAGCGUGCGUAGGUGGUGGUUUAAGUCCGUUGUGAAAGCCCUGGGCUCAACCUGGGAAUUGCAGUGGAUACUGGGUCACUAGAGUGUGGUAGAGGAUAGUGGAAUUUCCGGUGUAGCAGUGAAAUGCGUAGAGAUCGGAAGGAACAUCUGUGGCGAAGGCGACUAUCUGGGCCAACACUGACACUGAGGCACGAAAGCGUGGGGAGCAAACAGGAUUAGAUACCCGCGUAGUCCCUGUCUCUUAUAU